UCUAAAAUCGGCUCUGUUGGUGCUCGCGGACUGGUUCACAGGCCGCAGUUCAACGGGAAGCAGGAGGGCGUCGCCAGACGCCUGGCCUGCGCUGCCCCCGCAACGGUCAAACGGACGAGUCGUUUUCCGGACAUUUUCCGGCCACGGCUCCGCUGCCAUCAAUCAGCCACUGGGUGUGCUUCGAACACGCACCUGGGAAGGCGAUGGGAGUCUUCCGUCAGCCCGGAUACCGGCCAACAAGGUGGCCGCGCC
This 252-nucleotide non-coding RNA is filed under the name Rhodoferax sp. Lineage: Bacteria; Pseudomonadati; Pseudomonadota; Betaproteobacteria; Burkholderiales; Comamonadaceae. RNAcentral also lists the same sequence under 1 other name. The record is from RNAcentral.